UCGAGCGAACGGACGAGAAGCUUGCUUCUCUGAUGUUAGCGGCGGACGGGUGAGUAACACGUGGAUAACCUACCUAUAAGACUGGGAUAACUUCGGGAAACCGGAGCUAAUACCGGAUAAUAUUUUGAACCGCAUGGUUCAAAAGUGAAAGACGGUCUUGCUGUCACUUAUAGAUGGAUCCGCGCUGCAUUAGCUAGUUGGUAAGGUAACGGCUUACCAAGGCAACGAUGCAUAGCCGACCUGAGAGGGUGAUCGGCCACACUGGAACUGAGACACGGUCCAGACUCCUACGGGAGGCAGCAGUAGGGAAUCUUCCGCAAUGGGCGAAAGCCUGACGGAGCAACGCCGCGUGAGUGAUGAAGGUCUUCGGAUCGUAAAACUCUGUUAUUAGGGAAGAACAUAUGUGUAAGUAACUGUGCACAUCUUGACGGUACCUAAUCAGAAAGCCACGGCUAACUACGUGCCAGCAGCCGCGGUAAUACGUAGGUGGCAAGCGUUAUCCGGAAUUAUUGGGCGUAAAGCGCGCGUAGGCGGUUUUUUAAGUCUGAUGUGAAAGCCCACGGCUCAACCGUGGAGGGUCAUUGGAAACUGGAAAACUUGAGUGCAGAAGAGGAAAGUGGAAUUCCAUGUGUAGCGGUGAAAUGCGCAGAGAUAUGGAGGAACACCAGUGGCGAAGGCGACUUUCUGGUCUGUAACUGACGCUGAUGUGCGAAAGCGUGGGGAUC
This 725-nucleotide ribosomal RNA is filed under the name uncultured Staphylococcus sp. Its description in RNAcentral is "bacterial SSU rRNA". It matches the Rfam family "Bacterial small subunit ribosomal RNA", at positions 62 to 769 of the family's 1533-position model. Lineage: Bacteria; Bacillati; Bacillota; Bacilli; Caryophanales; Staphylococcaceae. The record is from RNAcentral.